Molecule: long non-coding RNA, 860 nt
Organism: Diprion similis
Lineage: Eukaryota; Metazoa; Arthropoda; Insecta; Hymenoptera; Diprionidae
Exons: 6
Source: RefSeq, a predicted model, not a curated record
GUUUGUUGCGUAAGAUCUUCCGUUUGCUGGGUAAAAUCCUCAGUUUGUUGGGUAAGAUCCUCAGCUUGCUGGGCAAGGUCUGCCGAUUGCUCAAUAACACUCUGUGAUUGUUGACUAAAGUCCUCCGUCUGUUGGGUAAGGUCCUGCGUUUGCUGGGUAAGAUCCUCUGUUUGUUGUGUGAGGUCCUGUGUUUGCUGGGUAAGAUCCUCUGUUUGUUGGGUAAGAUCUCCCAAUUGGUGAAUGACACCCUGCGAUUGUUGACUAAAGUCCUCCGUCUGUUGGGUAGGGUCCUGUGUUUGUUGGGUAAGAUCUCCCGAUUGCUGAAUGACACCCUGCGAUUGUUGACUAAAGUCCUCCGUCUGCUGGGUAAGAUCCUCAGUUUGUUGAGUAAGAUCCUCUGUUUGUUGAGUAAGGUCCUGUGUUUGCUGGGUAAGAUCCUCAGUGUGUUGAGUAAGAUCCUCUGUUUGUUGAGUAAGGUCCUGUGUUUGUUGGGUAAGAUCUCCCGAUUGCUGAAUGAUACCCUGCGAUUGUUGACUAAAGUCCUCCGUUUGUUGGGUAAGGUCCUGUGUUUGCUGGGUAAGAUCCUCUGUUUGUUGGGUAAGAUCUCCCAAUUGGUGAAUGACACCCUGCGAUUGUUGACUAAAGUCCUCCGUCUGCUGGGUAAGGUCCUGUGUUUGCUGGGUAAGAUCCUCCGUUUGUUGAGUAAGAUCCUCUGUUUGUUGGGUAAGAUCUCCCAAUUGGUGAAUGACACCCUGCGAUUGUUGACUAAAGUCCUCCGUUUGUUGGGUAAGGUCCUGUGUUUGCUGGGUAAGAUCCUCUGUUUGUUGGGUAAGAUCUCCCGAUUGCUGAAUGACACCCUG